This is a long non-coding RNA of Manis pentadactyla (Chinese pangolin), 516 nucleotides long. RefSeq lists it as uncharacterized. Lineage: Eukaryota; Metazoa; Chordata; Mammalia; Pholidota; Manidae. The transcript has 2 exons. The record is from RefSeq and is a predicted model, not a curated record.
AUUUCUCUCUUCUCUAUAGAUGGAUGACUUCUAUUAGAAGUAAGUAUACAGUAGAAUCAUCAGGGAAAUGUAAAUCAAAACUGCAUGAGAUAUCGUCUCACGCCAGUCAGAAUGGCCACUAUCCAAAAGACAAGAAAUAACAAGUGUUGGCAAAGAUGUGGAGGCAGGGGAACCCUCCUACACUGUUGGUGGGAAGGUCAUCUUUUGCAGGCCCUUUUUAACAGAUAUCUUCAACUCUGUUGACCUUCUGACAAAUAGAAGUUCUUAAUUUUUAAUGAAGUUUAUCAAACUUUUUACUUUUUGCUUAGUCCUGUUAAAGAAAUGUUUGUCUAGUCCAAGGUAAUAAAGCUACUGUCUUGCAUUUUUUCUGGAAACUUUUUUUUUGUCUUUCACAUUUAGAUCUACAUUCCAGUUGGAAUUUUGGUUUUUUGUUUAGUAUGAUGUGAAGUACGAGUGAAGAAUCACUUUUCUCCAUAUCGAUAACCAGCACCAUUUAUUAAAAAGACUUUUCCCCCA